UACGGAGGGGACUAGCGUUGUUCGGAAUUACUGGGCGUAAAGCGCACGUAGGCGGCUUACUAAGUCAGGGGUGAAAUCCUGGAGCUCAACUCCAGAACUGCCUUUGAUACUGGUGAGCUUGAGUCCGGAAGAGGUGAGUGGAACUGCGAGUGUAGAGGUGAAAUUCGUAGAUAUUCGCAAGAACACCAGUGGCGAAGGCGGCUCACUGGUCCGGUACUGACGCUGAGGUGCGAAAGCGUGGGGAGCAAACAGG
This 253-nucleotide ribosomal RNA is filed under the name uncultured bacterium. RNAcentral's name for it is "partial 16S ribosomal RNA". It matches the Rfam family "Bacterial small subunit ribosomal RNA", at positions 524 to 776 of the family's 1533-position model. The record is from RNAcentral.